Molecule: ribosomal RNA, 425 nt
Filed under: uncultured bacterium
Lineage: Bacteria
Description: bacterial SSU rRNA
Rfam family: Bacterial small subunit ribosomal RNA
Source: RNAcentral
GAAUUUUGGACAAUGGGCGAAAGCCUGAUCCAGCCAUGCCGCGUGAGUGAAGAAGGCCUUCGGGUUGUAAAGCUCUUUCGCAAGGAAAGAAAUCCUAUCCACUAAUACUGGGUGGGGAUGACGGUACCUUGAUAAGAAGCACCGGCCAACUACGUGCCCGCAGCCGCGGUAAUACGUAGGGUGCGAGCGUUAAUCGGAAUUACUGGGCGUAAAGCGAGCGCAGGCGGUUUUGUAAGUCAGAUGUGAAAUCCCCGGGCUCAACCUGGGAACUGCGUUUGAAACUGCAAGGCUAGAGUAUAGGAGAGGGAGGUAGAAUUCCACGUGUAGCAGUGAAAUGCGUAGAGAUGUGGAGGAAUACCGAUGGCGAAGGCAGCCUCCUGGCCUAAUACUGACGCUCAUGCUCGAAAGCGUGGGGAGCAAACAGG